UACGGAGGAUCCAAGCGUUAUCCGGAAUCAUUGGGUUUAAAGGGUCCGUAGGCGGUUUAAUAAGUCAGUGGUGAAAUCUGGUCGCUCAACGAUCAAACGGCCAUUGAUACCGUUAGACUUGAAUUAUUGGGAAGUAACUAGAAUAUGUAGUGUAGCGGUGAAAUGCUUAGAUAUUACAUGGAAUACCAAUUGCGAAGGCAGGAUACUACCAAUGGAUUGACGCUGAUGGACGAAAGCGUGGGGAGCGAACAGG
This 253-nucleotide ribosomal RNA is filed under the name uncultured bacterium. RNAcentral's name for it is "partial 16S ribosomal RNA". It matches the Rfam family "Bacterial small subunit ribosomal RNA", at positions 524 to 776 of the family's 1533-position model. The record is from RNAcentral.